Chlorocebus sabaeus (green monkey) is the source of this 117-nucleotide ribosomal RNA. The record is from Ensembl. NCBI's taxonomy places the organism in Eukaryota, Metazoa, Chordata, Mammalia, Primates, Cercopithecidae.
AUCUACGGCCAUACCACCCUGAACGCGCCUGAUCUCAUCUGAUCUCGGAAGCUAAGCAGGGUCGGGCCUGGUUAGUACUUGGAUGGGAGAAAUUAGCUAACCCCCGUCCCACAGGAC